Molecule: ribosomal RNA, 303 nt
Filed under: uncultured bacterium
Lineage: Bacteria
Description: partial 16S ribosomal RNA
Rfam family: Bacterial small subunit ribosomal RNA
Source: RNAcentral
AGCAGUCGCCGCGGGAAUACGGAGGGUGCAAGCGUUGUCCGGAUUUAUUGGGUUUAAAGGGUGCGUAGGCGGCUAUUUAAGUCAGCGGUGAAAGACUCCGGCUCAACCGGAGCAGUGCCAUUGAUACUGGAUAGCUUGAGUGUUGGAGGGGUACAUGGAAUUGAUGGUGUAGCGGUGAAAUGCAUAGAUACCAUCAGGAACACCGAUAGCGAAGGCAUUGUACUGGCCAACAACUGACGCUGAGGCACGAAAGCAUGGGGAGCGAACAGGAUUAGAUACCCCAGUAGUCCCUGUCUCUUAUAC